RNAcentral lists this ribosomal RNA (495 nucleotides) under uncultured bacterium. Its description in RNAcentral is "partial 16S ribosomal RNA". It matches the Rfam family "Bacterial small subunit ribosomal RNA", at positions 29 to 507 of the family's 1533-position model. The record is from RNAcentral.
AUGAACGCUGGCGGCGUGCCUAAUACAUGCAAGUCGAGCGAACAGACGAGGAGCUUGCUCCUCUGACGUUAGCGGCGGACGGGUGAGUAACACGUGGAUAACCUACCUAUAAGACUGGGAUAACUUCGGGAAACCGGAGCUAAUACCGGAUAAUAUAUUGAACCGCAUGGUUCAAUAGUGAAAGACGGUUUUGCUGUCACUUAUAGAUGGAUCCGCGCCGCAUUAGCUAGUUGGUAAGGUACGGCUUACCAAGGCAACGAUGCGUAGCCGACCUGAGAGGGUGAUCGGCCACACUGGAACUGAGACACGGUCCAGACUCCUACGGGAGGCAGCAGUAGGGAAUCUUCCGCAAUGGGCGAAAGCCUGACGGAGCAACGCCGCGUGAGUGAUGAAGGUCUUCGGAUCGUAAAACUCUGUUAUUAGGGAAGAACAAAUGUGUAAGUAACUAUGCACGUCUUGACGGUACCUAAUCAGAAAGCCACGGCUAACUACGUG